GCAGUGGUGGUUCAGUUGUAGAAUUCUCACCUCCCAUGUGGGAGACUCAGUUUGAUUUCUGGCCAGUGCA
This 70-nucleotide transfer RNA is filed under the name Loxodonta africana (African savanna elephant). It matches the Rfam family "tRNA". Rfam says of the family: Transfer RNA (tRNA) molecules are approximately 80 nucleotides in length. Their secondary structure includes four short double-helical elements and three loops (D, anti-codon, and T loops). Lineage: Eukaryota; Metazoa; Chordata; Mammalia; Proboscidea; Elephantidae. The record is from Rfam by way of RNAcentral.